UAAGGAAUAUUGGUCAAUGGAGGCAACUCUGAACCAGCCAUGCCGCAUGCAGGAAGAAGGCCCUAUGGGUCGUAAACUGCUUUUGAACAAGAGAAAACCCCGGUACGUGUACUGGGUUGAUAGUAUUGUUAGAAUAAGCAUCGGCUAACUUCGUGCCAGCAGCCGCGGUAAGACGAAGGAUGCAAGCGUUAUCCGGAUUCAUUGGGUUUAAAGGGUGCGUAGGCGGACUGAUAAGUCAGUGGUGAAAUCUCUCGGCUUAACCGAGAAACUGCCAUUGAUACUGUUAGUCUAGAGUACAGAUGAUGUGGGCGGAAUAUGACAUGUAGUGGUGAAAUACUUAGAUAUGUCAUAGAACACCGAUUGCGAAGGCAGCUCACAAAACUGUAACUGACGCUGAGGCACGAAAGUGCGGGGAUCAAACAGGAUUAGAUACCCUAGUAGUCCCUGAGCGGGCUGGCAAGGCGCAU
Molecule: ribosomal RNA, 467 nt
Filed under: uncultured bacterium
Lineage: Bacteria
Description: bacterial SSU rRNA
Rfam family: Bacterial small subunit ribosomal RNA
Source: RNAcentral